This is a long non-coding RNA of Diceros bicornis minor, 1313 nucleotides long. RefSeq lists it as uncharacterized. Lineage: Eukaryota; Metazoa; Chordata; Mammalia; Perissodactyla; Rhinocerotidae. The record is from RefSeq and is a predicted model, not a curated record. The transcript has 3 exons.
UUUUAUAACUUGGAAGAAGGAUCAUGUACCUGCUCAAGAAGAAAGCAUACUUUGUAGCUGCACAGGCUCUAAAGAGAACACACCCUCCAAUGGGGAAUUUAUACGUGGCCAGAGAGGAUCAAGAACCAGGAAGAACUUCCCAGAGGGCAAAGCCAAAGACUGUAGUGGACAAUGGACAAAGAACAGAACCACAAGCAUCCAACCGGUCAAAACAAGACACUCUCUCUCGAUGCCAGGUCUGGAGAUUCCACCAAUAUUUGCCUCAUCUGGAUCACUGUGUACAAAAUCCUGAAAACCAAAUAUCAAAGAGCACCUCAAUCCCACAGUCCUGAAUAUGCUUCUUUGGGCUAGAAAUAAACCAAUGAUGCCGUUGCCGUUUUGACCUCUCUGAGUUUUUAAAUACCUUCCUUAGUGAACUGUAAGUGACAGAGGCUUUGAAGAAAAAGAUGAUUUCAGCCUUGCAAAUAAAAACCGUCUUGAAAAAUAGAGGUAAGGGAAGAUAUGCUUAUCCUAUAAUUUUUUUUCAAUUGGGCUUAAAUGACUUAACACAUAAAACAAAAUAAAAUGGCAUCAAGUCUUCUAAUUAUUUUGUCACCGGAAGUUAAUUUUUUAGCCUCUUUCUGUUGUUAAUUAUUUUAGGACUAUAAAGAAAACAGUAGCCAUGGCUCUUGAUUUUCUCUAGAAUUAUCUGUGUUUUUUACAGAAGAAUGUCCUUUAAAUAUUAACAUAAUGGUCAGCUCCUGGUCAAACUCACUUCUUAAUCUACUUUUAUUUAUUUUUACUUAGUGUGAGGUGUGUUGAUGAUCUAUUAUGUGUCAACACUGUGCCAAGCCCUUAGAGAUGUUAAGAUGAUUAAGACGAGGGCCCUGGUCCAAAAGACUGUAUGUCUACCUACAUUUUUAAAAAGUUAAAUUGAACUGUGAGUAGAAAUAAAAUGGAAGUGUAGUCCAAUUGCUUUGGAUGGCAAAGGAUUUUUGAACUAGACCUAAAAGGAUGAAGAAAGCGAAAUGAAUGGUAGAAAUAAGGGAAAAUUAUGACAGGUCAAAGGAACACAUAUGCAAGGUACAGAGAGCUAAAAGUACAGUAGACAUUGUUCUCUAUGACUGUGUGACAGCAGCAGAAGCAACUGAUAAACGGGGCAUCAGGGUUAACUUUGAGGGUCUGAUAAAAACUGUCUAAGGAGUUAAAUGUGAACUUGAACUUGAUCUUCAAAGAUUAGGGGAAUGUAAGGAUUAAAGUAAUAAUCACAGUUUCCUGGACUUUGCCUUUAUAUUUUGCCUAUAUAUUCCUGGACUUUGCAAUAUAUUCCUUUA